RNAcentral lists this transfer RNA (73 nucleotides) under Bos taurus (domestic cattle). It matches the Rfam family "tRNA". From Rfam's summary of the family: Transfer RNA (tRNA) molecules are approximately 80 nucleotides in length. The record is from Rfam by way of RNAcentral. Lineage: Eukaryota; Metazoa; Chordata; Mammalia; Artiodactyla; Bovidae.
UACCUGGUGGUCCAGUGGUUAAGACUCUGCACUCCCAAUGCAGGGGGCCCGGUUUCAAUCUCUGGUCAGAGAG